AAAAGGUCACUCACCUCCAAUAGUUACUUGGUAUGUACUUAAGUAUUAAGAAAACAAACUAAACCACUUCUAGAUUGCUAAGUUUAAAAUAAUAUUAUCUUGAAAGUCUAAGAAAUUCAAACGAUUUGAUUUAUCAAUUUCCAUGAUUUCGAGCAAGGACUUCCAGUUCCGACAGGACCAAACUCUUGUUCUGUUAUUCACAUCCAAUUUCUAUUCCAGAUAACCAAGGGCAAAGGGCGUUUGAAAGGACAGUACAAGUGUCGUCAGGUACGCUCAACUCUUUGACGAACUGACAUUAUGAAGCUGAUUGGUAUUAUUCACAUGGGACUGUCAAAAUAGCUAAGUAAUAUUUUCUCUACCAAUACCGUUUCAGAACUGAGAGCUGGAAUAAGUUGGUGUGCGCUAUCUGUAUAACGCACUUGUACAAUGGAUGAUUGGAGAAGACGACCGUUAGUGUCAGAAUGUUAAUUGGGCGCUUCCCUAAGAGAGUCCCUCUAAAUUUCUUGUAUAUCUAGGUGAAAAGCAGAAUGAAAGUGUUGGAGUGUUGGUGGAUGGAUGUAGAUCUUUUACUUGAUUGAACUACUACAAGGUUGUGUGUUGUCUCAAUUCUUUUGGUUCUGAUCGUUGGUAUGCCGUUGAGUAAGUUGCUUUGUUUUAUGAAAUAAAUUGCUGAUAUUUGUGUA
Cucumis sativus (cucumber) is the source of this 683-nucleotide long non-coding RNA. RefSeq lists it as uncharacterized. The transcript has 2 exons. The record is from RefSeq and is a predicted model, not a curated record. NCBI's taxonomy places the organism in Eukaryota, Viridiplantae, Streptophyta, Magnoliopsida, Cucurbitales, Cucurbitaceae.